AUCACUUCUCGGCCUUUUGGCUAAGAUCAAGUGUAGAAUCUAUUCAGUUCCACUCUCAAUAACAUAUAAAAGUGUACAUGUAUGUACUUUUCCAAGUGCUUCAAAGGGAGUUUUGUGAUUAAAGAUAAUGAAUUGCUUUAGUCAUUUUUUUAAAGAUAGAGAAAUGUUCUUACUUUGGGACCUUCC
This is a non-coding RNA of Fukomys damarensis (Damara mole-rat), 186 nucleotides long. NCBI's taxonomy places the organism in Eukaryota, Metazoa, Chordata, Mammalia, Rodentia, Bathyergidae. The record is from Rfam.